UAAAGUUCCAGCUGUGUGUUUGUCAGGCAAUGAAAGGAGAUAAGAAUGUGGUUGUCGGGCAGGGUAUGGAGUCUUCGUUAGAGGAACUUUGUGAAGACAGUUUCUCUGCACAAGCCCUGACAGCUAACGUAGUGGGAGGAGAUCAAAAUGGGCAGCAGAGUGUAAUAUACGCUACAACAUACCCUGCUCAGGUACAUCAACAGAUCCAGUUCGGCUGAUUUUUAAGAUAAAACUAACUAUUUUUUAUUUAAAUUUCAACCAUCGUUCCCACCCAGUGCGUCAACCGAGGUUUUUAUAGAUAUUUGCGUGUAUAACAUGAAACAGGGACUUGUUAGGUUAGACGGUUUGAGAAGAAAAUAUCACAUAUAAAGUUUUAAUUUAAUUUAUUUUUUUCUCUGUAUUUGUGUGAUUCUGUUGUUUUCUAUAUACUUUUACAAAUUUUCGUGUUAAAAAAUCAUCACAGUUUUUAAACAGUUACUUAGAUAAAAAAAUAUUCCAGAGAAUCUGUGUGAAUUUAAUAAUAAGCUUUUAGAUCAUACGAUUAAGGUAAAAUAGUGUAAGAAGUGAUUGAUAUAGAGAAGUGUUUACCUUACUGAAUGACAUCAAAACUUCACAUUUAAUAGUUGUUAUGAACUCGGACUGAAUUGUAGAUUUGUUUUCUAUGGGUGUUAGACUUGUUGAUUUCAUUGUUUCGGCUUUUAUUGCUUAAAAACACAAACAUUGUUUUUACACAAUUAAUACGAUGGCUACUUAAGUUUUGUUUUUUGAAGUAUUUGUACAUUCAUUCAUUAUUUUGUUUUAACAAAGUGACUCACCUGUUGAGCUGUGUUAAUGUGUUAUUUAGUUUUAUAUAUUUGUGUAUCCGGUGAGAAGCCUUAGUGCCCACCGUCUAUAAUCUUUGAAUGUGUACAUGAUUAUAUACUACAGUAAAGUUAAUUAAAAUAUA
Molecule: long non-coding RNA, 946 nt
Organism: Limulus polyphemus (Atlantic horseshoe crab)
Lineage: Eukaryota; Metazoa; Arthropoda; Merostomata; Xiphosura; Limulidae
Exons: 3
Source: RefSeq, a predicted model, not a curated record